GGUUGUGGCUCAGUGGUAGAGCGAUUGCCUAGCAUGUGUGAGGCCCUGGGUUUGAUUCUCAGCAUCA
Molecule: transfer RNA, 67 nt
Filed under: Marmota monax (woodchuck)
Lineage: Eukaryota; Metazoa; Chordata; Mammalia; Rodentia; Sciuridae
Description: tRNA.Ala
Source: RNAcentral